UACAGAGGUCUCAAGCGUUGUUCGGAUUCAUUGGGCGUAAAGGGUGCGUAGGUGGCGCCGUAAGUCGGGUGUGAAAUUUCGGAGCUUAACUCCGAAACUGCAUUCGAUACUGCGGUGCUUGAGGACUGGAGAGGAGACUGGAAUUCAUGGUGUAGCAGUGAAAUGCGUAGAGAUCAUGAGGAAGACCAGUGGCGAAGGCGGGUCUCUGGGCAGUAACCGACGCUGAGGAGCGAAAGCGUGGGGAGCGAACAGG
RNAcentral lists this ribosomal RNA (253 nucleotides) under uncultured bacterium. RNAcentral's name for it is "partial 16S ribosomal RNA". It matches the Rfam family "Bacterial small subunit ribosomal RNA", at positions 524 to 776 of the family's 1533-position model. The record is from RNAcentral.